This is a ribosomal RNA of Petromyzon marinus (sea lamprey), 119 nucleotides long. Lineage: Eukaryota; Metazoa; Chordata; Hyperoartia; Petromyzontiformes; Petromyzontidae. The record is from Ensembl.
GCCUACGACCAUAUCACCCUGAAUGCGCCCGAUCUCGUCUGAUCUCGGAAGCUAAGCAUGGUCGAGCCUGAUUAGUACUUGGAAGGGAGACUGCCUGGGAAUACCAGGUGUUGUAGGCU